UGGUGGCACCUAACCCUGCUCUGCCCUCUGGGUGGGAUGCACCUCCUGGGGCUUGGCCCCACAUCCCAUACCCCAGCUUGGUUCUCAAAGUCUCUUUGUUCUACUGGGAUGAGCUGUGGCCAGCCCAGACCUGAUAAGGCUGAGUUAGGCCAAUAGUAGCCCCAAACCACACCCAGGCUGCCUUACAUCCAUAAUGAACUCCCCUCAGAUUGGCUUAAAUGCAGGAUGCUUCCUGCUCAGGUUUGGGUCUGAAAGACUUAACCUCUGGGAUGACCCUCCCUUUGUUCAUUUAAGACCUCUCAUCUGGAUGGGGAAGCAGGCUAAGGGGAUUAUCCCCCUUUUAGAGAUAAAUGAACUAAGUCUCCUAGAGGAAAAAUGACUCACCCAUAGUUAUUUACUCCACAAUCAGGAGCAUCAAUUGUGCUAGGUUUGCUAUUUACAGUAUCUUUUUAAAUCCUAGCAGUCUGCAAAGUGAGAGAGUUCCUAAUUCCUACUUUGCAGAAAGGUGAAGUCCAGAAGCCCAGAGAGGUGAAGUCACUUUCCCAUGGUGGCACAGUAGUUGAAACCAGAACUCAAGUCCUCUGCAGCAGUAACUGAAGGAGCCUAGUGAGUGCCCAGCUGAUGGCCGGCACAAAUUUAGAGCCAUGAAGGUCACCAUCUUGGAUGACCAGCCUCAUGGAGCCUUUAGAUGGCUGCAGCCUGGCCAACUUCUGAAUGCAACUGCAUGAGAGACUCCCAUUGAGAGCUGCAGGGCUACACCCUUUCUGAAUUCCUGACCCACAAAUGCAUAAGCAAAAUAAAACGAUUAUUUAGAACCUUGAA
This is a long non-coding RNA of Pipistrellus kuhlii (Kuhl's pipistrelle), 822 nucleotides long. RefSeq lists it as uncharacterized. Lineage: Eukaryota; Metazoa; Chordata; Mammalia; Chiroptera; Vespertilionidae. The record is from RefSeq and is a predicted model, not a curated record. The transcript is spliced from 2 exons.